CCUGCCGAAGAGGGAAGGCUGCAAGGACCUGCCCAGCCACCACUGCCAUGCCCAGCCACGGUGGACCUGCUUGGCCACCACCACAGACUCUUCCAGCCUCAGUUUCCUCAUUAGUAAAACAUGCAGGCCAAUAAUGCCUGCUCAGCACCCCACCCACGGAGGGAAGUGGGAGGCCUGGGAUAAGCUACGGCGGUGAAUGCUCUGUAAAUUGCACCUGGGUGAGGUUCCUCUCUGCCUGGGCUCCUGCUCCUUCCACUGGCAUUUGGCUGUGACAAAUGCCUGCUGACCACUCUCUGGGCCUCUGCAGGCCGGGCUGCCCUGGAACCCAUGCAGCUUUCCCAGGCCGUGCCUUCAUUUGUGAAGUCCCUGGCAUCUGCAAUGCUCUAGGCUCUCUCCUCCGCCAGUUGAAGAUGGAAAUCCCAGCUCUGGGAUGACAGACCUGGAUCAGUUUCCUGUCCUGCCUCUUCCCAGCUGCGCUCUGGCCCCAGAACAUGGCCAAAUUCAUGGGCUGCUACCUGCAGCAGGUCUGUGCCUGGAAAAGGGAGGUGGCUCAGCAACCCCCGAACCUUCUACCCAGGACAGGACACCCAGCUCCAGACCCCAGCUCAGUGACCUUGGGCCUCUGCCAUCGUCUGCCGCACCUGCUCCUGUACCAGCUGCCAUGGAAACCGGAGGAUCCUGGAGGGGGAUGGAGGGGCCUGGGCCUCAGGGCAGGAAUAGCCCCUCAUGGCUGAGGCACCAGGAUGCUGGGUGGGUGUGUGAACACCAG
This is a long non-coding RNA of Sapajus apella (tufted capuchin), 769 nucleotides long. RefSeq lists it as uncharacterized. Lineage: Eukaryota; Metazoa; Chordata; Mammalia; Primates; Cebidae. The transcript is spliced from 3 exons. The record is from RefSeq and is a predicted model, not a curated record.